RNAcentral lists this ribosomal RNA (259 nucleotides) under uncultured prokaryote. Its description in RNAcentral is "partial 16S ribosomal RNA". It matches the Rfam family "Bacterial small subunit ribosomal RNA", at positions 524 to 782 of the family's 1533-position model. The record is from RNAcentral.
UACGUAGGUGGCAAGCGUUGUCCGGAUUUAUUGGGCGUAAAGCGAGCGCAGGCGGUUCCUUAAGUCUGAUGUGAAAGCCCACGGCUCAACCGUGGAAGGUCAUUGGAAACUGGGGAACUUGAGUGCAGAAGAGGAGAGUGGAAUUCCAUGUGUAGCGGUGAAAUGCGUAGAUAUAUGGAGGAACACCAGUGGCGAAGGCGACUCUCUGGACUGUAACUGACGCUGAGGCACGAAAGCGUGGGGAGCAAACAGGAUUAGA